Molecule: ribosomal RNA, 938 nt
Filed under: Corynebacterium mendelii
Lineage: Bacteria; Bacillati; Actinomycetota; Actinomycetes; Mycobacteriales; Corynebacteriaceae
Description: Bacterial large subunit ribosomal RNA
Rfam family: Bacterial large subunit ribosomal RNA
Source: Rfam by way of RNAcentral
UUCUGGUUUUUCAAGGGCGCAUGGUGGAUGCCUUGGCAUGCUGAGCCGAUGAAGGACGUGGGAGGCUGCGUUAAGCCUCGGGGAGUUGUCAACCGAGCGUUGAUCCGAGGAUGUCCGAAUGGGGAAACCUGGCCACUGUUAUGGGUGGUUACCCGCAUCUGAAUGAAAUAGGGUGUGUGGGGGUUACGCGGGGAAGUGAAACAUCUCAGUACCCGUAGGAGAAGAAAACAAUUGUGAUUCCGUUAGUAGUGGCGAGCGAACGCGGAUGAGGCUAAACCGUGCAUGUGUGAUACCCGGCAGGGGUUGUGUGUGCGGUGUUGUGGGGUUUGGACGUAUGUGUUCUGCCGGACAUGUGCCAUUGAACAUGCUUGUUAGUGGAAGUGGUGUGGAAACGCCUGCCGUAGAGGGUGAUAGUCCCGUACGUGAAAGCUUGUGUGUUGUGGUUGUUCUUGUCCCCGAGUAGCAGCGGGCUCGUGGAAUCUGCUGUGAAUCUGCCGGGACCACCCGGUAAGCCUGAAUACUCAGUGUGACCGAUAGCGGAAUAGUACCGUGAGGGAAUGGUGAAAAGUACCCCGGGAGGGGAGUGAAAUAGUACCUGAAACCGUGUGCCUACAAUCCGUCAGAGCUGCUUUGUGUGGUGAUGGCGUGCCUUUUGAAGAAUGAGCCUGCGAGUCAGCGGCGCGUCGCGAGGUUAACCGGUUUGUCGGGUAGCCGUAGCGAAAGCGAAUCCUAACGAGGGUGUGUUAGUGGCGUGUCCUGGACCCGAAGCGGGGUGAUCUACCCAUGGCCAGUGUGAAGCAGAGGUAAGACUCUGUGGAGGCGCGAACCCACUUAGGUUGAAAACUGAGGGGAUGAGUUGUGGGUAGGGGUGAAAGGCCAAUCAAACUCCGUGAUAGCUGGUUCUCCCCGAAAUGCAUUUAGGUGCAGCGCUGUGUUUU